Long non-coding RNA from Sapajus apella (tufted capuchin), 5051 nucleotides. RefSeq lists it as uncharacterized. The record is from RefSeq and is a predicted model, not a curated record. The transcript is spliced from 2 exons. NCBI's taxonomy places the organism in Eukaryota, Metazoa, Chordata, Mammalia, Primates, Cebidae.
UCCCAUUUUGGCCUCCCAAAGUGCUGGGAUUACAGGCAUGAACCACUGUGCCUGGUCCUGGAAUGCAGCUUUCUAUACUCAGUGAAUAAAGAGAAGGACAGAUUAGCCUGGGAAGUAGCAUGGGCACAGGCUCAGAGUGCCAGCUCACCUGCAGCUUGAGGUGUGUGAAUUAGUGUCAGGUAAGCCGAGCCUGGAAUCGAGGAAAUGACCCUUAAGGACCCUGAAUGCCAUCUAAUGCAAUGGAUUUCCUCAGUAGGUGCAGAAAUUUCUUAUGCUAUGUAACAAAUUACCACAAGCUUCAUGGCUUGAAGCAACACCCAUUUAUUAGCUUGCAGUUCUGUUGGUCAGAAGUCCUGCUCGGCAUGGCUGCAUUCUCUGCACUGUUACGAGAUGAAAAUCAAGGUACCACUUGGGGUGAGUUCUCAUCUGGGGGAUCUUGGGGACAUAUCUGUUUUCAAGCUCAUUUCUGUUGUUGGCAAAAUUUCGUUUCUUGUGGGAGUGGGAUUGAGGUCCUGAUUUUUUGCUGACUGUCAGGGGGUUACUCUCAGCCCUUCGAGACUACCUCAAUUUUUCACCAUCUUCAAGCCAGCAAGGGCACAUCAAUUCCUUCUCAUGCUUUGAAUCUCUGUGACUUAGCUUCUGAGAUGAGCCAGAGAAAACCCUUUGCUUUUAAAGAGCUCAUAUGAUUAGGUCAGACCUACCUGAAUUAUUUCUUAAGGUAUGCUGUGCCAUAUAACAUCAUCUGAUCACGGGAGUAAAAUCCAUCAUAUUCACAGUCCUGGGGACUAUGCAGGGCCUGUAGAUGAAGGUGCAGGAAGUCGUAGGGACCAUCUUAGAAUUCUGCCUUCCAUGGUAGAUAAUGGGGAGUUUCUGCCAGUGUUUAAACAAGGAAGUUACAUGUUCCAAGCUGUGUUCUUGUAAGUUAAUAUUAGUGGGAUGUAGAAAGUGUUUUGGAAAGAUGAAGAACUGGAAACAGUUGACAAGGGAGGAAGUCUUUGCAAUAGCAAAAGAUCUGAGAGCACCAGUGCAUUGGAAAUGGGGAUCCAAGGAUCAAAAGGAGAACUUGACAACUUGCUACCUCCUAAUUCAAGCCAAGAUUUGCUUCCUUUGUGCUUUGUGGAGGGAAAGGCAAUGAAGGGGAGUACUAAGCAGACAGGCUCUUAAUGCUUUCUCUUAAACAGGGUAGCUUUUUCUAACACCCUCAUUUAAUAAUUGAGAUAUGGUGGUUUAGAAAGGAAAAAUGACAUACUUACCAGAGUUUCUUAGCUUUGCCAAGUAUGCAGUUUAGUUUGAGAAGAGACGACUCACUGGUAAAGAAAUGAUUAGAGGACAUGCAGGGCAUAAGAAGGGCAACUUGCCCAAUUAUAGUAUGGAUUCCAAGAAAGGCUGUGGUCAGUUUGGCUUGGAAUUUGUCAGGUUAACCGCAUGGGAGAAUGUGGGUCUUAGCCUGGCUGUUAAAAGAAGUUAUGGAGAGGACAUGAGUAUUAUUUAAGCAAAGGUCAGCAGACAGGACCAGCUCUGUGUAAAAUUGGGGAAUAGGAGAAGCUUGAGGGGCAAUGUGGUAUAGUGGCUGUGAGCCUUGGGAUCUUAUAUACCUGAGCUAUAUGACUUUGGGGAAGAUACUUUGUCUCAUGAGCCUCAGUUUUUCAAACUGCAAAAUGGAGCUAAUAAAUAUGUACAUAUAAAUACAAAAUAACAGUUUCAUGGGCUAAAUCUAGCUGAAUAUUGCAAAUAUUGUAUGAUUCAAUCAAAUGUAUCUAUACCUGAUAGCGUUCUUAUGAUUUCUGGGUCAGAUAGUGCAUGUUUAGCAUAGUUCCUGGCCCAUCAUCAGUAUGGCAUCUUAGUAACUAUUUGUAAUAUUAUUCAAGGAAAAGGAAACUUCAAAAUCUGGAAUUUAAGUAGAGCAGUUAACUUUUCAAGCUGGAGAAGGCUUUCACUUUGCCAUAUGGAGAAGUAGCCAGUAAGGGAGAGGAUGUUGAAUUGUGAAACGUGGGAAUAUCAACCAGAAGCUGGGGUCAGAGGGGCAGAGACUCCUGGUGUGUCAACGUUUGGCUUGGCUUGACCUGAGGAUACAGAGUUUAAUAUCGCUUUGUUGAUUGGGGCCUUAGAGGAGUUCAGACUUCUGGGGUCAGGGAGUAGAUGGGCUAUUAGGUAGAAUAACCCAGUUCAGAGCAGAAAACUCCCUGGGAGGGGGUGAGAGGGAUAGGAAGAUGAAGAUGGGGUGGGUGGGUGUGUGUGUGUGUGUGUGUGUGUGUGUGUAGGAGGAUUGAUUUCACUGGAUGGAUUGCAGAAGCUUUGGGUGGUGGAACCUCAUCUGCACUGGGCUGAUUCUUUGCAAUUCUUCCUGAGGAAGUUACGCUUUGAUGAAGGGGGCUUUCUGAAAGGGAAAUAAGAUUUCCUUAGAAAAGGGUAAAGAGUUGAGAGGGCAGGAGGAAGAGGAGGAAGUGAACUGGGGGAGUUUGCGAGGUUGAGAAUGUGGGAUUGACGGGUAUAAAAAGAUAUGAGAGCUAUGGGCUGCACUCCACUGUUGAGGAGACUGCAUGUCCAGCGUUCAGAGAGACAGUGGAGAAGAAACUGGGGUCCCCAGGCAGGGCUUCUGGUUUCCUUGGGACUCUAGGUGUGGUGGAAAGGGGGCCCCAUGCCCAGAACAAUCCUGCCUUGAGGUAAAGAUGCCUCUCAGUGAUAUUUGGAGAAUGCCAUGUCUUUCUCCUAGUACAAUACGUGGAAACAGAAUUCAAAGCAUCUCUCUCUGAGCCUGUGAACCACAACAAGGGCUUUAAAAUAGCUUCAGAAAGGUGCCUUUGCCUUGUUUAUGAAGCGUGUACUAAUUAGACAGAGUUGUGUUUUCUUUGUGGUAUAAGCCUUUGCAGUGGAUCUACAUUGUCAUUGUUAUCAAUGAUAACUAAUGAGAUUAAGAUUUAAAACAGGUGUUUGAUAAUCCUUGCUGAAGAGAAUUCAGGGGAUAUUGUUCCUGAUUUUGCUUUCUCUCCACCUGGAAAGGAGGUGGAUGAGCCCAUCAGCCCACAGCCUGUUGUCGGGAGGAAAUUCCUUGGCUCAAUGUGAAGAAAGUGUAGUAUGCCCAGAUUACUGUUUACCAGGGACAAGGGCCUGUUGCUUUGAUCUUCUCCCAAGACUGGAGUUGGAGAAGUGUUUUUGGUGUAGUUCCAUCCUCUCAGAGUGAAGCUCUUCAAUUUCCCAGGCAUUGAAGCUUUGUUAUAAGAGUCACUGGAUAGAUUCUGAUGUAAUGAUUCAAGAUGCUGGCUUUCCAGAAAAUUCUUAAUAUAUUGCCAUAUUCACCAUAGCUUUAAUUCCAUUAUGUAAAAAAGAACACUUUCUUGUCAUCUGAAGAGCUCCUAAUUUCUUAAAUCCCAUCAAAUGUCGUGAUAUUUACUCAAACUUUCUUUCCAAAAUUGUGCCCUGGAGUGUUUGUAGGCAGCUAUUACAUUUGCCUCUAACAUUACUCACCAUUUAGUAAAAGAAACAAAACAAAUGCCAGCAAAAGUAACUCCUCCAUAAAAUACAUGUCAAGCAGGAAUAACAUGUGAAUGAACAAAAUCCUGGCUUGAAUCUGUUCUUUUGCAACAAAUGUAGUGUGGUUGUAAUUUUGAGAAAAGAAGCCUGCAAACAAAAACAGUUAGUAGUUUAAUUUUGGGUUUACAGUUUUGACAUUGUAACCCUAAAUUACACCUUAUUUGGAAAAAUCUCUUCAACUUCAGACUUUUUUUUUUUCCCUAGUGCUACAAGAUGACUCUAUUAAAAAUUCUCUGGAGAUAAAAUAGCAAUAUUUGUCAAUCUAUAUAAUAGUUAAUAUUCAAAGUAACAUAAUUGAUCUGCAUCAUAGAUUUACUCUUCUUGUUGAAUAUAUUGAUAGUUCUAAAUACAUAGAAUUAAAAACAAACACAAAACUCCUUUCCACAUGGCAAAUAGGGAAUUGUCAGAGCUGUGCCAAAUGUCGUAAGAUGCAGCAUUUAGGAGAGAUGAAGGGCUAAAGCCAUCAGAGUUCCUACCAAAUUGGGUGACCUACAUGAGUUUUGUUAGCCACCCCUUAAUGAGCCAACACUGAAGAAAGGUUUUUGCAGAAGAAGAAUGAGGUAACUAUUUAGUGGUAUCCAGUUAAAGCCAGUAGGAGACCAUGAGAGGAAUGAUUUUAAGUUCCCUAGAGGGCAAGAAGUGUUUCUUUAGAAAUCACUCCACGUGGUACCUCGAAGAGUAAGAUACACAAACAGGUACUUAAUAAAUGUUGUUUGAUGAUAGAGGUGUUGAAAGAAGGGUAGAUCAGUAACUGAAAUUAAUGUGGACUUACAAGACUAAUGGUUAAUAGGAAUCUAGGCAUCCACUAUGAUUAAGGCCAGUGAAUUUAAAUAAGUACAUUUCCGCUUUCAGCUCCUAGGGGAAAAGAGUAUGUUUCAGACAGCAAACCCCCAACCAAAUCUGGACAGCAAUAGUAGCCUCUUUUGGCCUUUGGUAAAAUUCCCAAUAAACCAGAUACCAAAGUACAGUAUUAAAAAAUGAAGAAAAUUCAUUUGUUCAUCGAUUGGGUGACAUCUCCAGUCCUCAGCCUCUCAGGAGGUUAGGAGCCCAGCUUGGAGUUCUACAAUAGUGCAUCACUGUUUGCCCAAGACCUUCAGUGCCUCACAUUCAUGUAUGCAAAGUCUUUUUCAAGCACCUUAUGAAAGCUGUGUUGGCUUGGACAGAAUGCCAGUGGGUAGUAUCUGGGUUUUAUUGGUGCUGCUUGAGGGAAAACAUUUAGGUAGUUCAGGAAAGCACUGAAAACAGAAAGAGGGUUUCGAGGUUGUUAUUUGGAGUCAGACUCUUGAGUAUAUCAUGGAAACAAAACAAUUUUAAACUUAAAAAAAGUAUUUUACUUCCUAUUUGGCUUCAAUAUGGUAAUAAUGUCUUUCGCUAUUUCCUGGACAACUGGCCUUUUUCUUCAGUAUGAUUCCUCUGGGAAAAGGUAUGCCUUCCAAAUGCCACCUUGGAAUUCUCACCUCAUUAUUCUUAUUCCCUUGCUAGGCAAAGCAACCCCUGCCUUCUUAAAAGUUCUAUCAGAU